Molecule: ribosomal RNA, 491 nt
Filed under: uncultured bacterium
Lineage: Bacteria
Description: partial 16S ribosomal RNA
Rfam family: Bacterial small subunit ribosomal RNA
Source: RNAcentral
AGUGAACGCUGGCGGUAGGCCUAACACAUGCAAGUCGAACGGCAGCACAGUAAGAGCUUGCUCUUACGGGUGGCGAGUGGCGGACGGGUGAGGAAUACAUCGGAAUCUACUUUUUCGUGGGGGAUAACGUAGGGAAACUUACGCUAAUACCGCAUACGACCUACGGGUGAAAGCAGGGGAUCUUCGGACCUUGCGCGAUUGAAUGAGCCGAUGUCGGAUUAGCUAGUUGGCGGGGAAAGGCCCACCAAGGCGACGAUCCGUAGCUGGUCUGAGAGGAUGAUCGGCCACACUGGAACUGAGACACGGUCCAGACUCCUACGGGAGGCAGCAGUGGGGAAUAUUGGACAAUGGGCGCAAGCCUGAUCCAGCCAUACCGCGUGGGUGAAGAAGGCCUUCGGGUUGUAAAGCCCUUUUGUUGGGAAAGAAAAGCAGCAGGUUAAUACCCCGCUGUUCUGACUGUACCCAAAGAAUAAGCACCGGCUAACUUCGUG